GACGAGCGCGGCGGCGUGCUUAACACAUGCAAGUCGAACGGAGCGAAUGAAAGCUUGCUUUUAUGAGCUUAGUGGCAAACGGGUGAGUAACACGUAGACAACCUGCCGACAGGAUGGGGACAACAUUCCGAAAGGAAUGCUAAUACCGAAUGAAGCGGAGGAGAGGCAUCUCUCUUCCGUGAAAGAUGGCCUCUGAAGAUGCUAUCACCUGUCGAUGGGUCUGCGUCUGAUUAGCUGGUUGGUGAGGUAACGGCUCACCAAGGCGACGAUCAGUAGCCGGUUGAGAGGAUGAACGGCCACAUUGGGACUGAGACACGGCCCAGACUCCUACGGGAGGCAGCAGUGGGGAAUCUUCCGCAAUGGGCGCAAGCCUGACGGAGCAACGCCGCGUGAGUGAAGAAGGUCUUCGGAUCGUAAAGCUCUGUUGAUGGGGACGAACGUACGGAGUGCGAAUAGUGCUUCUUAAAG
RNAcentral lists this ribosomal RNA (468 nucleotides) under Selenomonas sp. oral taxon 138. Its description in RNAcentral is "bacterial SSU rRNA". It matches the Rfam family "Bacterial small subunit ribosomal RNA", at positions 28 to 487 of the family's 1533-position model. The record is from RNAcentral. Lineage: Bacteria; Bacillati; Bacillota; Negativicutes; Selenomonadales; Selenomonadaceae.